CGAACAGCCUGGCACGGACUUCGGUCUGGUGGCGAGUGGCGAACAGGUGAGUAAUGUAUCGGAACGUGCCUAGUAGCGGGGAUAACUACGCGAAAGCGUAGCUAAUACCGCAUACGCCCUUCGGGGGGAAAGCGGGGGACCUUCGGGCCUCGCACUAGAAGCGGCCGAUAUCGGAUUAGCUAGUUGGUGGGGUAACGGCUCACCAAGGCGACGAUCCGUAAGCUGGUUUUGAGAGGACGACCAGCCACACUGGGACUGAGACACGGCCCAGACUCCUACGGGAGGGCAGCAGUGGGGAAUUUUGGACAAUGGGGAAACCCUGAUCCAGCCAUCCCGCGUGUGCGAUGAAGGCCUUCGGGUUGUAAAGCACUUUUGGCAGAAGAAACGGCACGGGAUAAUACCCCGUGCAACUGACAGUACCUGCAGAAUAAGCACCGGCUAACUACGUGCCAGCAGCCGCGGUAAUACGUAAGUGCAAAAAAGCGUUCAAUCAGAAUUACUUGCCUGGGCGUAAAGCGUGCGCAGGCGGUUCGGAAAGAAGAUGUGAAAUCCAGAGCUUAGCUUUGGAACUGCAUUUUUAACUACCGAGCUAGAGUGUGUCAGAGGAGGUGGAAUUCCGCGUGUAGCAGUGAAAUGCGUAGAUAUGCGGAGGAACACCGAUAGCGAAGGCAGCCUCCUGGGAUAACACUGACGCUCAUGCACGAAAGCGUGGGAGCAAACAGGAUUAGAUACCCUGGUAGUCGCCACAAACGAUGUCAACUAGCUGUUGGGGCCUUCGGGCUGUGGUAGCGCAGCUAACGCGUGAAGUUGACCGCCUGGGGAGUACGGUCGCAAGAUUAAAACUCAAAGGAAUUGACAGGGACCCGCACAAGCGGUGGAUGAUGUGGAUUAAUUCGAUGCAACGCGAAAAGCACCUACCCUUGACAUGUCUGGAAUCCCGAAGAGAUUUGGGAGUGCUCGCAAAGGCCGGAACACAGGUGCUGCAUGGCUGUCGUCAGCUCGUGUCGUGAGAUGUUGGGUUAAGUCCGCAACGAGCGCAGCCCUUGUCAUUAGUUGCUACGAAGGGCACUCUAAUGAGACUGCCGGUGACAAACCGGAGGAAGGUGGGGAUGACGUCAAGUCCUCAUGGCCCUUAUGGGUAGGGCUUCACACGUCAUACAAUGGUCAGGACAGAGGUCGCCAACCCGCGAGGGGAGCCAAUCCAGAAACCCGAUCGUAGUCCGGAUCACAUGAUCUGCAACUCGACUGCGUGAAGUCGGAAUCGCUAGUAAUCGCGGAUCAGCAUGUCGCGGUGAAUACGUUCCGGGUCUUGUACACACCGCCCGUCACACCAUGGGAGUGGGUUUUACCAGAAGUAGUUAGCCUAACCGUAAGGAGGGCGAUUACCACGGUAGGAUUCAUGACUGGGGUGAAGUCGUAACAAGGUAG
RNAcentral lists this ribosomal RNA (1428 nucleotides) under uncultured Bordetella sp. RNAcentral describes it as "partial 16S-23S ribosomal RNA intergenic spacer". It matches the Rfam family "Bacterial small subunit ribosomal RNA". Lineage: Bacteria; Pseudomonadati; Pseudomonadota; Betaproteobacteria; Burkholderiales; Alcaligenaceae. The record is from RNAcentral.